Molecule: unclassified non-coding RNA, 300 nt
Filed under: uncultured fungus
Lineage: Eukaryota; Fungi
Description: sequence contains ITS1, 5.8S rRNA gene
Source: RNAcentral
GUAUUAAUAUUAUAACAAAAGGCAUUGCUGCCUUUUGAUAACACAUUCAAAGACUACAAAGUAGGGUGUUGUAAAAUACAUAGAUACCGAAGCAAAGGCAGCCUUUGACAGCAAACCCUCAAAAAAAUAACAAUCCAAAGGAGUUGAUUAUUUUUAUCCAGCAUCUACAAGAAGUGCACAGGUGGGUUGGAGAUAAAUAGUUUGAAAGGUGUGCACAUUGCUCCCCAAUAGAGAGCCAGCUACAACCUCCCAAAUUAUAUUUAUUCAAUAAUGAUCCUUCCGCAGGUUCACCUACGGAAA